This is a long non-coding RNA of Coregonus clupeaformis (lake whitefish), 1007 nucleotides long. RefSeq lists it as uncharacterized. The record is from RefSeq and is a predicted model, not a curated record. The transcript has 4 exons. NCBI's taxonomy places the organism in Eukaryota, Metazoa, Chordata, Actinopteri, Salmoniformes, Salmonidae.
GACGACCGCGAGAAGUCUGUCCUGUCCCACAUGUUACACACCCGAAAGUGGAUUUCAGAACAAUCGCCAUCUCAACAGAAGGGCAUCUGUGAAGAUGAACGUUCUCUCAUUGGCUUGUCUGUGCAGUCUGCACACACCUCCAAAAGCUAGAACACUUGCAUAGAACUGAGCACUUUUGUUCAGCUCCUGGGACUGUACAAGCUACCACCCACAACCCAUAUAGUAUAUGACCAACACCAUCUUCUGAAGCCAAGCCAUGUUGUGACUCAUCUUCAGCGUGCUGUCCUAUGUGGCUGACAGCAUAGCUGCCUGCUGCUGCCCCUCAAGAAAGAUCAAAUCAGCUACAGGAUGACAAUACCAGCACAAGGGGGAGGAUGUGUGGACAGUCUCCAAAGGGGCACCAUCCAGUCAAAACCCUCCAGCCAGAAAGAUUAUCUCUUAGAUGGCCAUUUUAGAGAGGGACUAGGGCUAGGGUUUUAGUACUUUGAAAAUGCAUCCUUCCUUCAAGAUUUCACUGAUCGUUCUGCAUAUGGCUAGCGGGUACUAUUCCUCUGUGCUUUUGAUAAUGACGACUUGUCUGUAAACUCCUUGUUUGGGAGGUGGAUAUAUCUGACAACACCCAAGUACAGAAGGUGACCAGCAGAGUAGUGUUUGGCUGAACUGCAACCUAUAUUGCUUUCACUAUAUUUAAUCAAAUCUAUGACAAAAGUAUUGAACAAAGUUAUGUCAUUAAGAAAAUGUUACUUGAUUAAGCAUAUUUCAGACUCUAUUGUAGCUUUAUUGCUGUUAUCCAACAAAUCUCUUUUCUUGGACAGGACCAUUUACCCUGGUAAAUAAGAGCUUUACAGGUUUCUUAACCCAACCUUACAACCACUGCUAAAUAUCAGUGCUAAAGCCAGAGCUAUUACAGAUGUCAAAGAACAAACUAUAAAAAGUCAAAUAAAGGCCUAUAUCCAUGAUACUCUAUUUAGAAAACUAUAGAAUAGUAAAAAAAAAUGGCCAUAAAC